This 207-nucleotide unclassified non-coding RNA is filed under the name Hevea brasiliensis (rubber tree). Lineage: Eukaryota; Viridiplantae; Streptophyta; Magnoliopsida; Malpighiales; Euphorbiaceae. The record is from RNAcentral.
AAAAGUUUCACCAUCACUACAACACAAAGAAGAAAGAAUAAGCAGGAAUGGCGAAUGUCAUGGAAGUGGUUGUAAAAAGAGCACACGUUUCAGCAAUAUAGGAACAAAUGCACAAUUUAUACCCACAAUAAUGAUAUGACAACUAAAAAAAAAUCAUACUGAUGGGAAUCAUUUUCCUUUUAAAAAAAAAAGAAGAGGAAGAAAAUG